AUGGAAAAGAAAUGCAAAAAAGCAAAAUGGCUGUCUGGGGAGGCCUUACAAAUAGCUGUGAAAAGAAGAGAAGUGAAAAGCAAAGGAGAAAAGGAAAGAUAUAAACAUCUGAAUGCAGAGUUCCAAAGAAUAGCAAGGAGAGAUAAGAAAGCCUUCCUCAGUGAUCAAUGCAAAGAAAUAGAGGAAAAGAACAGAAUGGGAAAGACUAGAGAUCUCUUCAAGAAAAUUAGAGAUACCAAGGGAACAUUUCAUGCAAAGAUGGGCUCGAUAAAGGACAGAAAUGGUAUGGACCUAACAGAGGCAGAAGAUAUUAAGAAGAGGUGGCAAGAAUACACAGAAGAACUGUACAAAAAAGAUCUUCACAACCCAGAUAAUCACGAUGGUGUGAUCACUGACCUAGAGCCAGACAUCCUGGAAUGUGAAGUCAAGAGGGCCUUAGAAAGCAUCACUACGAACAAAGCUAGUGGAGGUGAUGGAAUUCCAGUUAAGCUAUUUCAAAUCCUGAAAGAUGAUGCUGUGAAAGUGCUGCACUCAAUAUGCCAGCAAAUUUGGAAAACUCAGCAGUGGCCACAGGACUGGAAACGGUCAGUUUUCAUUCUAAUCCCAAAGAAAGGCAAUGCCAAAGAAUGCUCAAACUACCACACAACUGCACUCAUCUCACACGCUAGUAAAGUAAUACUCAAAAUUCUCCAAGCCAGGCUUCAGCAAUACACGAACCAUGAGCUUCCAGAUGUUCAAGCUAGUUUUAGAAAAGACAGAGGAACCAGAGAUCAAACUGCCAACAUCCUUUGGAUCGUCAAAAAAGCAAGAGAGUUCCAGAAAAACAUCUAUUUCUGCUUUAUUGACUAUGCCAAAGCGUUUGACUGUGUGGAUCACAAUAAACUGUGGGAAAUUCUGAAAGAGAUGGGAAUACCAGACGACCUGACCUGCCUCCUGAGAAAUCUGUAUGCAGGUCAGGAAGCAACAGUUAGAACUGUUCCAAACAGACUGGUUCCAAAUAGGAAAAGGAGUACGUCAAGGCUGUAUAUUGUCACCCUGCUUAUUUAA
RNAcentral lists this long non-coding RNA (1047 nucleotides) under Bos indicus x Bos taurus (hybrid cattle). RNAcentral's name for it is "lncRNA (ENSBIXG00005006127.1)". Lineage: Eukaryota; Metazoa; Chordata; Mammalia; Artiodactyla; Bovidae. The record is from RNAcentral.